CAGCGUCUACGGGAGGCAGCAGUGAGGAAUAUUGGUCAAUGGUCGGGAGACUGAACCAGCCACGCCGCGUGAGGGAGGAAGGUACAGAGUAUCGUAAACCUCUUUUGUCAGGGAACAAAGGCGGGGACGUGUCCCCGGAUGAGAGUACCUGAAGAAAAAGCAUCGGCUAACUCCGUGCCAGCAGCCGCGGUAAUACGGAGGAUGCGAGCGUUAUCCGGAUUUAUUGGGUUUAAAGGGUGCGCAGGCGGUCUGUUAAGUCAGC
RNAcentral lists this ribosomal RNA (262 nucleotides) under uncultured bacterium. Its description in RNAcentral is "partial 16S ribosomal RNA". It matches the Rfam family "Bacterial small subunit ribosomal RNA", at positions 333 to 592 of the family's 1533-position model. The record is from RNAcentral.